AAGGACUCGUUAGAAUAUUAUCACAAAACUAGUCAUCUUGUGUUAUUCUGUGCCCUGAGACCAAUAAAUGGACCAUGUGUUUGAUAGAUGAGUCUAGUUAUUUCGUUAUUUCACUUUAAAGUCUCCAAUCGUAGCAGGUUUUGAGUGCAAUUGGUUGUUGUCUUGGUGAAUCAAAGUUUCAGGUGGAUCACAACUUCAGCUCUGGACUCAGUAAUUGGUCAGUACUUGCCUCCUCCCCAUUGGACACUCACAACAUGAGCUUACAUUCAGAUGUUGCAGAAGACGUCCAAAUUGUCAAUCUGUAUCAACACUUCUCGGAUCACAGGAAUACUUAUUCAAAAAAAGGUCACCAAUUAAAGCCCCUGUUCUCCUGCUUGCUCAUUGAAAUUCAGCCUUGCAGCCUUGGACAUUGGGGAACUACAAAGGCACAGACUAUUUUCUUUACCCUGUACUGCUUUGAGAAGGACAUUUAUAAAUAAAAAUGAAUAAAAUAUAUGGAGUCCCUAUUUGAUAGAAGCAGAUGACCAAGGUUGAGGUCAGUCAUGGGUUUCCAGAGUGGAUCCUAAGAGACAACAUGUCAAGGGAAGAUAGUCCCUUCACCUCCCUCCCUCUCUGUCUAUCUCUCCAAUGCUGACAGGCUGUCACCCGUAUCUGAUCCGGGGAUUAGAGGCACUGGAGUGGUAAAUGUGUCUCUGUGAGAGGACUUACAU
Molecule: long non-coding RNA, 710 nt
Organism: Osmerus eperlanus (European smelt)
Lineage: Eukaryota; Metazoa; Chordata; Actinopteri; Osmeriformes; Osmeridae
Exons: 3
Source: RefSeq, a predicted model, not a curated record